GUGACACUGAACUGCUCUGAGGGGUAUCGGCCGUCACCAGCUGUGAUCGAAUGUGUCAGAAAUGGGAGCCAGUCUGUCUGGAGUGAGACACCCACCUGCCGGGGCGUUUGUACGAGGGCAGGAAACUGGCCCCCGUCGGUCUCUGCUGCCUCCGCACAGACAGAGUUUGCCGUUGGCGAGGGGGUUUGGGUGACCUGUCGCCAGGAGCAGUACGAGGGGAGCCCGGCUUGGAUGCGAUGUACAGAGACGGCUGGGCGCGUGGAGUGGGACACGAGCCGUGUGAGCUGUGUGGAAAAGUGUAAAGCUCCAGACACCCGGGACGCCAGGGUCCGGUUCGCCCUCAAGCAGCAGUUUUACAGCCCAGGGGACUCGGUGACAUGGAGCUGCCCUGCGGGGUACCGGCCCUCGCAGCCUGCGAUCAGAUGCACUAGACGGGGAAGCCAGAAUGUCUGGAGUGGGACAGCCG
This is a long non-coding RNA of Terrapene triunguis (Three-toed box turtle), 466 nucleotides long. RefSeq lists it as uncharacterized. The record is from RefSeq and is a predicted model, not a curated record. NCBI's taxonomy places the organism in Eukaryota, Metazoa, Chordata, Testudines, Emydidae. The transcript is spliced from 3 exons.